AUACUUAUCUGACAGGAGAGACCCCAGGAUCAUGACGGUAGUUUUCCCAGGGCAAAGCUGAUCCUUUGCCUUUCAAAUGUGCUGACCCCUGCAAUUUCCCCAAAUGUGGAAAACUUGACUGCAUAAUGUGUGAUAGUGGGGUACUGGAUUCACCCUCUCUUCUG
Molecule: small nuclear RNA, 164 nt
Organism: Sorex fumeus (smoky shrew)
Lineage: Eukaryota; Metazoa; Chordata; Mammalia; Eulipotyphla; Soricidae
Product: U1 spliceosomal RNA
Exons: 1
Source: RefSeq, a predicted model, not a curated record